Molecule: non-coding RNA, 443 nt
Filed under: Myotis davidii
Lineage: Eukaryota; Metazoa; Chordata; Mammalia; Chiroptera; Vespertilionidae
Description: Eukaryotic large subunit ribosomal RNA
Rfam family: Eukaryotic large subunit ribosomal RNA
Source: Rfam by way of RNAcentral
CUCGACUCUAUUCUGGAACAAUGAAGAGACUCAAGAAGUACAUAACAAGCGGGAGGCUCCCAGCUCUGAGUGCACACACCCUAAUUACCACAUCCCCGCCUUAAAAGGGUGGGGAUGGGGCAGCCUUGUGGGCCACCUGUGAAAUACCAAUACUCUCACUGUUUUUUCCACAGGCCAAAGGGGCUCUUGCUUCUGGCUCUAAGCACCCAGUCACACUAGCCAGACACAACCCACUGCAGGGACACUGAUCAUCAGGGAGCUGAACUGGUAUUGCACACCUGUGAAAUGGUAAUGCAGGUGUCCUAAGUAAAGCUCAGGGAGGACAGAAACCACUGAUGGAGCAGAAGAGCAAAAGCUCACUUAAUCUGGAUUUUCAGUGUGAAUACAGACUACAAAAGUGGGGACACACACGCACACAUAAUAAAAAAUUCACGGGAGAAGAG